UUUGAGGGGAAUGUUGUCUGGCUCGAGGCCGCCAUAACAGUUUUUCACCCUUUUUUUCUUUUUUUUUUUUGGUUCUUCUGGAUCUCGGACCAGGCUUCAUUCCCCCCAAU
Molecule: microRNA precursor, 110 nt
Filed under: Ananas comosus (pineapple)
Lineage: Eukaryota; Viridiplantae; Streptophyta; Magnoliopsida; Poales; Bromeliaceae
Description: mir-166 microRNA precursor family
Rfam family: mir-166 microRNA precursor family
About the family: This family represents the plant microRNA (miRNA) precursor mir-166. Animal miRNAs are transcribed as ~70nt precursors and subsequently processed by the Dicer enzyme to give a ~22nt product.
Source: Rfam by way of RNAcentral